RNAcentral lists this non-coding RNA (25 nucleotides) under Arabidopsis thaliana (thale cress). Lineage: Eukaryota; Viridiplantae; Streptophyta; Magnoliopsida; Brassicales; Brassicaceae. The record is from RNAcentral.
GGGUCGAUGCCCGAGCGGUUAAUGG